UGAGGAAUAUUGGACAAUGGGCGCAAAGCCUGAUCCAGCCAUGCCGCGUGCAGGAUGAAGCAUCUAUGGUGUGUAAACUGCUUUUGUACGGGAAGAAACAGAGGUUCUUGAACCUCUUUGACGGUACCGUAAGAAUAAAUGAUCGGCUAACUCCGCUGC
Molecule: ribosomal RNA, 159 nt
Filed under: uncultured bacterium
Lineage: Bacteria
Description: partial 16S ribosomal RNA
Rfam family: Bacterial small subunit ribosomal RNA
Source: RNAcentral